GUCCAGACUCCUACGGGAGGCAGCAGUGGGGGAUAUUGCACAAUGGGGGAAACCCUGAUGCAGCGACGCCGCGUGUGGGAAGACGGUCUUCUGGAUUGUAAACCACUGUCCCCAGGGACGAAAAUGACGGUACCUGGGGAGGAAGCUCCGGCUAACUACGUGCCAGCAGCCGCGGUAAUACGUAGGUGGCAAGCGUUGUCCGGAUUUACUGGGUGUAAAGGGCGUGUAGCCGGGCCGGCAAGUCAGAUGUGAAAUCCCAAGGCUCAACCUUGGAACUGCAUUUGAAACUGUUGGUCUUGAGUAUCGGAGAGGCAGGCGGAAUUCCUAGUGUAGCGGUGAAAUGCGUAGAUAUUAGGAGGAACACCAGUGGCGAAGGCGGCCUGCUGGACGACAACUGACGGUGAGGCGCGAAAGCGUGGGGAGCAAACAGGAUUAGAUACCCUAGUACA
Molecule: ribosomal RNA, 449 nt
Filed under: uncultured bacterium
Lineage: Bacteria
Description: partial 16S ribosomal RNA
Rfam family: Bacterial small subunit ribosomal RNA
Source: RNAcentral